AUGAACCAAACGUCGAGUUAAGGGGCCUAAAUGAAUGCUCAUUCAGAUCCCAUUGAAAGGCGUUGGUUGCUAUAGACAGCAGGACGGUGGCCAUGGAAGUUGGAAUCCGCUAAGGAGUGUGUAACAACUCACCUGCCGAAGCAACUAGCCCUUAAAAUGGUAUGGCGCUCAAGCAUUCUCCCGAUACUCGACCGCCGGGCGCACUACCGGCCUCGCUCUCAAGGCGAGGUCUCGAAGCCCCGGUGAGUAGGAGGGUCGCAGUGGUGAGCGCUGAAGGGUUUCGGCGUGGGCCGGCCUGGAGCCGCCACUGGUGCAGAUCUUGGUGGUAGUAGCAAAUACUCGAGAGAGACUCCCUUGAUGACCGAAGCGGAGAAGGGUUCCA
RNAcentral lists this ribosomal RNA (382 nucleotides) under Homarus americanus (American lobster). RNAcentral's name for it is "eukaryotic LSU rRNA". It matches the Rfam family "Eukaryotic large subunit ribosomal RNA", at positions 1163 to 1511 of the family's 3401-position model. The record is from RNAcentral. RNAcentral also lists the same sequence under 1 other name. Lineage: Eukaryota; Metazoa; Arthropoda; Malacostraca; Decapoda; Nephropidae.